RNAcentral lists this ribosomal RNA (261 nucleotides) under Nicotiana rustica (Aztec tobacco). RNAcentral describes it as "18-25S ribosomal RNA". The record is from RNAcentral. Lineage: Eukaryota; Viridiplantae; Streptophyta; Magnoliopsida; Solanales; Solanaceae.
ACGUCUGCCUGGGCGUCACGCAUCGCGUCGCCCCCGCACACCGCGCCCAUUCUCAUGAUUGCGGUGGUGUCGUGGGACGGAUACUGGCCUCCCGUGUGCCUCGAGCGUGCGGUUGGCCUAAAUGCGAGUCCACGGCGACGGACGUCACGACAAGUGGUGGUUGAAACUCAACUCUCGUAAUGUGGCUACAACCCGUCGCAUGUUUGGGCUCCCCGACCCUUAUCGCUUAGGCGCUCCGACCGCGACCCCAGGUCAGGCGGG